UCGAACGAUGAAGCCCUUUCGGGGGUGGAUUAGUGGCGAACGGGUGAGUAACACGUGGGCAAUCUGCCCUGCACUUCGGGACAAGCCCUGGAAACGGGGUCUAAUACCGGAUACGACCGYCGGGCGCAUGCUCGGUGGUGGAAAGCUUCGGCGGUGCAGGAUGAGCCCGCGGCCUAUCAGCUUGUUGGUGGGGUGAUGGCCUACCAAGGCGACGACGGGUAGCCGGCCUGAGAGGGCGACCGGCCACACUGGGACUGAGACACGGCCCAGACUCCUACGGGAGGCAGCAGUGGGGAAUAUUGCACAAUGGGCGGAAGCCUGAUGCAGCGACGCCGCGUGAGGGAUGACGGCCUUCGGGUUGUAAACCUCUUUCAGCAGGGAAGAAGCUUUUGUGACGGUACCUGCAGAAGAAGCACCGGCUAACUACGUGCCAGCAGCCGCGGUAAUACGUAGGGUGCGAGCGUUGUCCGGAAUUAUUGGGCGUAAAGAGCUCGUAGGCGGCGUGUCACGUCGGAUGUGAAAGCCCGGGGCUUAACCCCGGGUCUGCAUUCGAUACGGGCAGGCUAGAGUUCGGUAGGGGAGAUCGGAAUUCCUGGUGUAGCGGUGAAAUGCGCAGAUAUCAGGAGGAACACCGGUGGCGAAGGCGGAUCUCUGGGCCGAUACUGACGCUGAGGAGCGAAAGCAUGGGGAGCGAACAGGAUUA
This 703-nucleotide ribosomal RNA is filed under the name Streptomyces sp. CNY-463. RNAcentral's name for it is "bacterial SSU rRNA". It matches the Rfam family "Bacterial small subunit ribosomal RNA", at positions 62 to 780 of the family's 1533-position model. Lineage: Bacteria; Bacillati; Actinomycetota; Actinomycetes; Kitasatosporales; Streptomycetaceae. The record is from RNAcentral.